Molecule: long non-coding RNA, 348 nt
Organism: Aptenodytes forsteri (emperor penguin)
Lineage: Eukaryota; Metazoa; Chordata; Aves; Sphenisciformes; Spheniscidae
Exons: 2
Source: RefSeq, a predicted model, not a curated record
AAUAAUCCCUUUCUUGUAGGUGCUUCCCAAGCAUUCAAAGAGGAGAAGAAGUUAAGCGGAUCCCAGCGUGAAGGACCAGGUGGAGCGAAGGUUAACGCAGGAUCUGCCCCAGCCAAGCCACCGAGUCCUGUUGCAGAAACAUUCAGAGUUAUUCAGGGGGCAAUGAGCGAAGAGUAUGUGAGAGCGACUCAGGGUGUCUUUCAGUUUGAAUUAUCUGGUGAUGACGGAGGCACUUGGUAUAUUGACCUGAAAACCAAGGGUGGGAGCGCUGGUUUCGGAAAGCCUCCUGUGACGGCUGACGUGGUUAUGAGCAUGUCGAGUGCCGACUUUGUGAAAAUGUUCACAGGU